Molecule: ribosomal RNA, 229 nt
Filed under: uncultured bacterium
Lineage: Bacteria
Description: partial 16S ribosomal RNA
Rfam family: Bacterial small subunit ribosomal RNA
Source: RNAcentral
UGCGUAGGCGGGCUAAUAAGUCAGUGGUGAAAUCUUCCGGCUCAACCGGGAACCUGCCAUUGAUACUGUUAGUCUUGAGUUCGGCUGAGGUAGGCGGAAUGUGUAAUGUAGCGGUGAAAUGCUUAGAUAUUACACAGAACACCAAUUGCGUAGGCAGCUUACUAGACCGACACUGACGCUGAGGCACGAAAGCGUGGGUAGCGAACAGGAUUAGAUACCCUGGUAGUCC